AACGAACGCUGGCGGCAGGCCUAACACAUGCAAGUCGAGCGCCCUUUCGGGGGAGCGGCGGACGGGUGAGUAACGCGUGGGAAUAUGCCCUUCUCUACGGAAUAGCCUCGGGAAACUGAGAGUAAUACCGUAUACGCCCUGUGGGGGAAAGAUUUAUCGGGGAAGGAUUAGCCCGCGUUGGAUUAGGUAGUUGGUGGGGUAAUGGCCUACCAAGCCGACGAUCCAUAGCUGGUUUGAGAGGAUGAUCAGCCACACUGGGACUGAGACACGGCCCAGACUCCUACGGGAGGCAGCAGUGGGGAAUCUUAGACAAUGGGAGCAACCCUGAUCUAGCCAUGCCGCGUGAGUGAUGAAGGCCUUAGGGUUGUAAAGCUCUUUCAGCUGGGAAGAUAAUGACGGUACCAGCAGAAGAAGCCCCGGCUAACUCCGUG
RNAcentral lists this ribosomal RNA (431 nucleotides) under uncultured bacterium. RNAcentral's name for it is "partial 16S ribosomal RNA". It matches the Rfam family "Bacterial small subunit ribosomal RNA", at positions 29 to 507 of the family's 1533-position model. The record is from RNAcentral.